UCAAGCGUUUAAGGGCGUGUAGUGGAUGCCUUGGCACUGAAAGCCGAUGAAGGACGUGAUAUACUGCGAUAAGUUUCGGGGAGCUGUAUGUAAGUUUUGAUCCGAAAAUUUCCGAAUGGGGAAACCCACCACUUUAUGUGGUACUUUAAACUGAAUACAUAGGUUUAAAGAGACAACCUGGAGAACUGAAACAUCUAAGUAACCAGAGGAAAAGAAAUCAAUUGAGAUUCCGUUAGUAGUGGCGAGCGAACGCGGACUAGGCCAGUAGUUUUGUUAAAAAAAUUUGAAUAGUUUGGAAAUGCUAACCAUAGAGGGUGAUAGUCCCGUAUGAGUAAUGUUUAACAAAAUUCUUGAGUAAAGCGGGACACGUGAAAUCCUGCUCGAAUAUAGGGGGACCACCCUCUAAGCCUAAAUACUCUUCAGUGACCGAUAGUGAACUAGUACCGUGAGGGAAAGGUGAAAAGAACCCCUAUUAGGGGAGUGAAAUAGAACCUGAAACCGCAUGCCUACAAUCAGUCGAAGCUCUUUUUAGAGUGACGGCGUACCUUUUGUAUAAUGGGUCAGUGACUUAAUUUAUAAAGCAAGCUUAAGCCAUCUAGGUGUAGGCGUAGCGAAAGCAAGUCUUAAUAGGGCGAUUAGUUUAAUGAAUUAGACCCGAAAACGAAUGAGCUUACCAUGAGCAGGUUGAAAGUUGGGUAACACCAACCGGAGGACCGAACCAGUUGACGUUGAAAAGUCUUUGGAUGACUUGUGGUAAGGGGUGAAAGGCCAACCAAAUUCGUAGAUAGCUGGUUUUCCGCGAAAACUAUUUAGGUAGUGCGUUGAAUAAAUAGAUGUUUAGAGGUAGAGCACUAAAUGGGCUAGGGGGAAGAGAUUCUUACCAAACCUAAUAAAACUCCGAAUGCUAAAUGUUGUUCUUCAGCAGACAGACUGUGGGUGCUAAGGUCCAUGGUCGAGAGGGAAAGAGCCCAGACCACCAGAUAAGGUCCCCAAAUUAUGAUUAAGUGUGAAAGGAUGUGGAAAUUCCUUAACAGCCGGGAGGUUGGCUUAGAAGCAGCCAUCCUUUAAAGAUAGCGUAACAGCUCACCGGUCUAAUAGAGUUUCUGCGCCGAAGAUGUAACGGGGCUAAAAUCAUAUACCGAAUCUGUGGGUUUAUAAAAUUUUCGAAUUUUAUAAGCGGUAGCGGAACGUUCUGUAAGCCUGUGAAGGGAUACCCGUGAGGGAUCCUGGAGGUAUCAGAAGUGCGAAUGCUGACAUAAGUAACGAUAAAAGAAGUGAAAAACUUCUUCGCCGAAAAUCCAAGGGUUUCUGCGCAAGGUUAAUCCGCGCAGAGUUAGUCGGCACCUAAGGCGAGGGCGAAAGCCGUAGUCGAUGGAAAUAAGGUUAAUAUUCCUUAACCAGAUGGUAGUGACGGAUCUUGUAAGUUGUGAGUUCUUAAUGGAUUGAACUUGCCGCGAAAAGGUUCCAAGAAAUAGCUCCAUCAUUAGACCGUACCCUAAACCGACACAGGUGGAUUAAUAGAGUAUAUUUAGGCGCUUGAGAGAAUGAUGUUGAAGGAACUCGGCAAAAUGCUUCCGUAACUUCGGGAUAAGGAAGACCUGUUUUUAGGCAACUAGAGAUGGGUGGCACAAGCCAGGGAGAAGCGACUGUUUAUCAAAAACACAGGGCUCUGCUAACACGUAAGUGGAUGUAUAGGGUCUGACGCCUGCCCGGUGCUGGAAGGUUAAUGCGAUGGGUGCAAGCUCAUUUCUGAAGCCCCAGUAAACGGCGGCCGUAACUAUAACGGUCCUAAGGUAGCGAAAUUCCUUGUCGGGUAAG
This 1818-nucleotide ribosomal RNA is filed under the name marine metagenome. RNAcentral's name for it is "bacterial LSU rRNA". It matches the Rfam family "Bacterial large subunit ribosomal RNA", at positions 1 to 1980 of the family's 2925-position model. The record is from RNAcentral.